RNAcentral lists this unclassified non-coding RNA (434 nucleotides) under soil metagenome. RNAcentral's name for it is "partial contains 5.8S ribosomal RNA, internal transcribed spacer 2, and large subunit ribosomal RNA". The stretch from base 5 to 121 matches the Rfam family "5.8S ribosomal RNA", at positions 38 to 154 of the family's 154-position model. The record is from RNAcentral.
GAUGGAAGAACGUAGCGAAAUGCGAUACGUAAUGUGAAUUGCAGAAUUCAGUGAAUCAUCGAAUCUUUGAACGCAUAUUGCGCUCUCUGGUAUUCCGGAGAGCAUGCUUGUUUGAGUGUCAGUAAACACCUCAACUUCCAUAUCUUUUUUGAAAUGGGAGUUGGACUUGAGUGAUCCCAACGCUUUUCCUCACCGAAAAGUGGCGGGUUACUUGAAAUGCAGGUGCAGCUGGACUUUUCUCUGAGCUAUAAGCAUAUCUAUUUAGUCUGCCUAAAAAACAGAUUAUUACCUUUGCUGCAGCUAACAUAAAGGAGAUUAGUUCUUGUGCUGACUGAUGCAGGAUUCACAAAGACAGGCUUCGGCCGACUUUGUAAACUCGAUCUCAAAUCAAGUAAGACUACCCGCUGAACUUAAGCAUAUCAAUAAGCGGAGGA